This 630-nucleotide ribosomal RNA is filed under the name uncultured prasinophyte. Its description in RNAcentral is "SSU rRNA". It matches the Rfam family "Eukaryotic small subunit ribosomal RNA", at positions 628 to 1267 of the family's 1831-position model. The record is from RNAcentral. Lineage: Eukaryota; Viridiplantae; Chlorophyta.
UCGUAGUUGGAUUCGGGCCCAGGCGGCCGGUCCGCCGUUUCGGUGUGCAUUGGUCGGCUCGGUCUUUCUGCCGGGGACGCGCUCCGUCUUGACUGCCGGACGCGGAGUCGGCGACGUUACUUUGAAAAAAUUAGAGUGUUCAAAGCAGGCUUACGCUCUGAAUACUAUAGCAUGGAAUAACACGAUAGGACUCCGAGCCUAUUUUGUUGGUCUUCGGGACCGGAGUAAUGAUUAAGAGGGACAGUUGGGGGCAUUCGUAUUACGGUGUCAGAGGUGAAAUUCUUGGAUUUCCGUAAGACGAACUUCUGCGAAAGCAUUUGCCAAGGAUGUUUUCAUUAAUCAAGAACGAAAGUUGGGGGCUCGAAGAUGAUCAGAUACCGUCGUAGUCUCAACCAUAAACGAUGCCGACUAGGGAUUGGAGGAUGUUAAUUCGAUGACUUCUCCAUCACCUUAAGAGAAAUCAAAGUUUUUGGGUUCCGGGCGGCGUAUGGUCGCAAGGCUGAAACUUAAAGGAAUUGACGGAAGGGCACCACCAGGCGUGGAGCCUGCGGCUUAAUUUGACUCAACACGGGGAAACUUACCAGGUCCAGACAUAGUAAGGAUUGACAGAUUGAGAGCUCUUUCUUGAUU